This 547-nucleotide ribosomal RNA is filed under the name uncultured Ambispora. RNAcentral's name for it is "SSU rRNA". It matches the Rfam family "Eukaryotic small subunit ribosomal RNA", at positions 548 to 1098 of the family's 1831-position model. The record is from RNAcentral. Lineage: Eukaryota; Fungi; Glomeromycota; Glomeromycetes; Archaeosporales; Ambisporaceae.
UUGGAGGGCAAGUCUGGUGCCAGCAGCCACAGUAAUUCCAGCUCCAAUAGCGUAUAUUAAAGUUGUUGCAGUUAAAAAGCUCGUAGUUGAAUUUUAGGCCUGGCCGGGCGGUCCAUUUUUGGCGAGUACUGUCUUGUUGUCAGGUCUUCCUUCUGGUGAACCAGUAUGUCCUUUAUUGGGUGUGUUGGGGAGCCAGGACCAUUACCUUGAAAAAAUUAGAGUGUUUAAAGCGGGCUAUUGCUUGAAUAGAUUAGCAUGGAAUAAUAGAAUAGGACGUUGUGGUUCUAUUUUGUUGGUUUCUAGGACCACCGUAAUGAUUAAUAGGGAUAGUUGGGGGCAUUAGUAUUCAAUUGUCAGAGGUGAAAUUCUUGGAUUUAUUGAAGACUAACUAUUGCGAAAGCAUUUGCCAAGGAUGUUUUCAUUAAUCAAGAACGAAAGUUAGGGGAUCGAAGACGAUCAGAUACCGUCGUAGUCUUAACCAUAAACUAUGCCGACUAGGAAUCGGGCGUCGUUAUUUUAAUGACUCGCUCGGCGCCUUACGGGAAAC